This is a long non-coding RNA of Aegilops tauschii subsp. strangulata, 1389 nucleotides long. RefSeq lists it as uncharacterized. NCBI's taxonomy places the organism in Eukaryota, Viridiplantae, Streptophyta, Magnoliopsida, Poales, Poaceae. The record is from RefSeq and is a predicted model, not a curated record.
CCUGUGCACGCUAAUGAAGACGCCACCGCCACGUCUUAUCUUCGUGGGAACCCUAUCCCGAGUCAACCCCUCGUCCAAGCCUCAUAUCCUAUAAAUAGCCACGACUCUCCUCUUCCGAUUCCCCUUGAAACCCCUCGCCAAAACCCACCGUAUCACACACCCUCAUUGUUGGGAUCUCGCCGGAGUUCACGUGGUUCAUCGGUCGAUUCCAACGCAUGAAGAACCGGAGCCACUGCCUCGAGCUCACAAUGCCGCUGGAGUUCACGAAGUUCAACUCGAUGCUACGCUCGACCCCGACGUCCCCUCACCUCACGAUCCACAGAAAAUCGAACGCCCCCGAACUUCCGCAUCGCCUGGACAUCCUCGCCGACGCCGCGGAGGACCAAAGCCCGGCCGCCCACCUGCCUCUACUUCUCUGCCACACCCGUUUCUUCUGUAUUUUCAACGGAGUGACGAAUAGUUCUACCAAGUCUUUACUCCGAGAGUGUUAUAAUAUCUUCAUCAACUUACCAGGCAAGUUCACUUUGACCAUGCUUUUCAUACCUAUGUUUUUAUUGCAUUUAUUGUCAUCUUUGCAACAAUCCCUCCAGUAGUGAUAUUGAGUUCUUGUAGUUGAGUAGAAUGCAUGAGGUAGGAACCCAUCACCCUGUACCAAGCCUUGGGACGUUGUUUAAUUUUAAUGAUACGCUAUAGUAGACGGGGUUGGUAUGAGUGCUCGGGAGUGGUGUGAGUAUGAAGGACCCCCUACGUCAAUGACGACAACUUCACGAUGGCAUCGGCAAGGACUGCAUCUUCAGGACCUCAAGACUUAAGACCUCAAGAUUUCGAGACUCGAGACAAGAAUUCAAUACACACUACUGCGUGAAGAACGGAUUUGAUGGGCACCCUGGACCAACCAGUGGAUGGUCGAGAUGCAUGGAGAAGCGGCAUGACAUCUUGCGUAAAGCUUCACCCAGACUCAAAGAGACGGAAGAAUACUUCAUGCCCGGAAGCUUACCUGUGCAACCGCAAGUCACUAUGGGCUCUGGUUCGGUUGAGCUUAGUUGUGAUUCUGGCUGGGACGGUGCUAGCAGAUGUAGAACUAUGGUAGGAUUUGAUGAGCGCCGGACAGUGGUCAGAGGAACUCUUCGGAAGACCAUGUUUCGGUCAUUUUGUUCUCAAACACCCUGAAGUGCGAGAACGUAAAAAGAGGGAUCAAAUCUUGCGGGUAAAGUGUACAAACCUCUGCAGAGGGUUUAAACCUAAUCGAUUAGCCGUGUCCCCGGUUUGAGCCUCUGGACUUGGAUCUAUCUCGGAAAUCUCAACACCGGACUUAUAAACUUAAUUGUGGGCAACUUAUGAUGAUUUGGGCUACGAGACAUCGGUUGGCAGAACCCUGUCAUGAUAGAU